Molecule: non-coding RNA, 24 nt
Filed under: Arabidopsis thaliana (thale cress)
Lineage: Eukaryota; Viridiplantae; Streptophyta; Magnoliopsida; Brassicales; Brassicaceae
Source: RNAcentral
CACCAUCGAGACUACCUCUAUGCA